This is a small nuclear RNA of Cervus hanglu yarkandensis (Yarkand deer), 103 nucleotides long. NCBI's taxonomy places the organism in Eukaryota, Metazoa, Chordata, Mammalia, Artiodactyla, Cervidae. The record is from Ensembl.
UCGCUUUGGCAGCACACAUACUAAAAUUUGAACAAUACAGAGAAGAUUAGCGUGGCCUCUGAGCAAAGAUGACAUGCAGAUUCAUGAAGUGUUCCAUACUUUU